This 513-nucleotide ribosomal RNA is filed under the name uncultured bacterium. RNAcentral describes it as "partial 16S ribosomal RNA". It matches the Rfam family "Bacterial small subunit ribosomal RNA", at positions 28 to 523 of the family's 1533-position model. The record is from RNAcentral.
GACGAACGCUGGCGGCGUGCCUAAUACAUGCAAGUCGAGCGCGAGAGUGAGGAGCUUGCUCCUCAUAAUCGAGCGGCGGACGGGUGAGUAACACGUAGGCAACCUACCCUUGAGAUUGGGAUAACUACCGGAAACGGUAGCUAAUACCGGAUACGACUUUUCCACACAAGUGGAAUGGUUAAAAGGCGGAUUUAUCUGCCGCUCAUGGAUGGGCUGCGGUGCAUUAGCUAGUUGGUGAGGUAGUGGCUCACCAAGGCGACGAUGCAUAGCCGACCUGAGAGGGUGACCGGCCACACUGGGACUGAGACACGGCCCAGACUCCUGCGGGAGGCAGCAGUAGGGAAUCUUCCGCAAUGGACGCAAGUCUGACGGAGCAACGCCGCGUGAGUGAUGAAGGGUUUCGGCUCGUAAAACUCUGUUGUUAAGGAAGAGCACUUGAGGUAGUAACUGGCCUUGAGAUGACGGUACUUAACCAGAAAGCCACGGCUAACUACGUGCCAGCCGCCGCCGUAA